AAAUCAACCCAAUUUCGGUUUGACGUGGAGGAAAGAACCAACCCCAUUGGAUGAUUUUAAUUGCUGACGUGGACACCCUAGCUAUUGAUCUUAUUCCCCUUUUACUUAUUGUAAAUGAUAAAGUACUUUCACAUGUUUCAUUAACUAAUUGACCUAAUAUGUUUUCCAUAACUAUUCAUUAAAAGUGUAAACAAUAUUAAUCACUUUAACUUUUAACAUAUCAGAGGUACGUAGAAUGUGAAAAAUCACUUUGCAUAUAAUAAUAUAGAGAUGUGAUGGAUAUUUAAAAAUUAAAAAAACUAAUGUAUGAUAUAGUAGUAACAUAUAAAUCAAUUUUGAAAGAGGCCACAUGCAUGUUUUCAUAUAUACACUAGAUUAAAAAUUUAGAGGAAAUUCUAACUUUACCUUGAUACUACUUUUCAAAUUUACAUUUAAAUGAUAAUCAUUUUAAUAAAUAACUUAUGUUUAUUAUGAAAAUAAAACAAAAUUAACUCUCAUAAAUCAUUUAUAAAUGUUUUAAGAAAUUUAAUAAAAUUUUAUAAACU
RNAcentral lists this long non-coding RNA (545 nucleotides) under Brassica napus (rape). Its description in RNAcentral is "long non-coding RNA (BNAP_LNC016612)". Lineage: Eukaryota; Viridiplantae; Streptophyta; Magnoliopsida; Brassicales; Brassicaceae. The record is from RNAcentral.